GAUGAACGCUGGCGGCGUGCCUAAUACAUGCAAGUCGAGCGAACGGACGAGAAGCUUGCUUCUCUGAUGUUAGCGGCGGACGGGUGAGUAACACGUGGAUAACCUACCUAUAAGACUGGGAUAACUUCGGGAAACCGGAGCUAAUACCGGAUAAUAUUUUGAACCGCAUGGUUCAAAAGUGAAAGACGGUCUUGCUGUCACUUAUAGAUGGAUCCGCGCUGCAUUAGCUAGUUGGUAAGGUAACGGCUUACCAAGGCAACGUUGCAUAGCCGACCUGAGAGGUUGAUCGCCCACACUGGAACUGAGACACGGUCCAGACUCCUACGGGAGGCAGCAGUAGGGAAUCUUCCGCAAUGGGCGAAUGCCUGACGGAGCAACGCCGCGUGAGUGAUGAAGGUCUUCGGAUCGUAAAACUCUGUUAUUAGGGAAGAACAUAUGUGUAAGUAACUGUGCACAUCUUGACGGUACCUAAUCAGAAAGCCACGGCUAACUACGUG
RNAcentral lists this ribosomal RNA (497 nucleotides) under uncultured bacterium. RNAcentral's name for it is "partial 16S ribosomal RNA". It matches the Rfam family "Bacterial small subunit ribosomal RNA", at positions 28 to 507 of the family's 1533-position model. The record is from RNAcentral.